This 460-nucleotide ribosomal RNA is filed under the name uncultured bacterium. RNAcentral describes it as "partial 16S ribosomal RNA". It matches the Rfam family "Bacterial small subunit ribosomal RNA", at positions 338 to 795 of the family's 1533-position model. The record is from RNAcentral.
CCUACGGGUGACAGCAGUGAGGAAUAUUGGUCAAUGGACGAGAGUCUGAACCAGCCAAGUAGCGUGAAGGAUGACUGUCCUAUGGGUUGUAAACUUCUUUUAUAUGGGAAUAAAAUGUUCCACGUGUGGGAUUUUGUAUGUACCAUAUGAAUAAGGAUCGGCUAACUCCGUGCCAGCAGCCGCGGUAAUACGGAGGAUCCGAGCGUUAUCCGGAUUUAUUGGGUUUAAAGGGAGCGUAGGUGGAUUGUUAAGUCAGUUGUGAAAGUUUGCGGCUCAACCGUAAAAUUGCAGUUGAAACUGGCAGUCUUGAGUACAGUAGAGGUGGGCGGAAGUCGUGGUGUAGCGGUGAAAUGCUUAGAUAUCACGAAGAACUCCGAUUGCGAAGGCAGUUCACUGGACUGCAACUGACACUGAGGCUCGAAAGUGUGGGUAUCAAACAGGAUUAGAUACCCUUGUAGUC